GUGCUCACUUUGGUAGCACAUGUACUAAAAUUGGAAGGAUACAGAGAAGAUUAGCGUGGCCUCUGGGCAAGGAUGACAGGCAAAUUGGUGAAGCAUUCCAUAUGUUU
This 107-nucleotide small nuclear RNA is filed under the name Jaculus jaculus (lesser Egyptian jerboa). The record is from RNAcentral. Lineage: Eukaryota; Metazoa; Chordata; Mammalia; Rodentia; Dipodidae.